This 153-nucleotide ribosomal RNA is filed under the name uncultured fungus. RNAcentral describes it as "5.8S ribosomal RNA". It matches the Rfam family "5.8S ribosomal RNA". Rfam says of the family: 5.8S ribosomal RNA (5.8S rRNA) is a component of the large subunit of the eukaryotic ribosome. It is transcribed by RNA polymerase I as part of the 45S precursor that also contains 18S and 28S rRNA. Lineage: Eukaryota; Fungi. The record is from RNAcentral.
AACUUUCAACAACGGAUCUCUUGGUUCUGGCAUCGAUGAAGAACGCAGCGAAAUGCGAUAAUUAAUGUGAAUUGCAGACUCAGUGAAUCAUCGAAUCUUUGAACGCACAUUGCGCCCUCUGGUAUUCCGGGGGGGCAUGCCUGUUCGAGCGUC